This 497-nucleotide ribosomal RNA is filed under the name uncultured bacterium. RNAcentral describes it as "partial 16S ribosomal RNA". It matches the Rfam family "Bacterial small subunit ribosomal RNA", at positions 28 to 507 of the family's 1533-position model. The record is from RNAcentral.
GACGAACGCUGGCGGCGUGCCUAAUACAUGCAAGUAGAACGCUGAAGAGAGGAGCUUGCUCUUCUUGGAUGAGUUGCGAACGGGUGAGUAACGCGUAGGUAACCUGCCUUGUAGCGGGGGAUAACUAUUGGAAACGAUAGCUAAUACCGCAUAACAAUGGAUGACACAUGUCAUUUAUUUGAAAGGGGCAAUUGCUCCACUACAAGAUGGACCUGCGUUGUAUUAGCUAGUAGGUGAGGUAAUGGCUCACCUAGGCGACGAUACAUAGCCGACCUGAGAGGGUGAACGACCACACUGGGAAUGAGACACGGCCCAGACUCCUAGGAGAGGCAGCAGUAGGGAAUCUUCGGCAAUGGGGGCAACCCUGACCGAGCAACGCCGCGUGAGUGAAGAAGGUUUUCGGAUCGUAAAGCUCUGUUGUAAGUCAAGAACGGGUGUGAGAGUGGAAAGUUCACGCUGUGACGGUAGCUUACCAGAAAGGGACGGCUAACUACGUG